ACUCCUACGGGAGGCAGCAGUAGGGAAUCUUCCACAAUGGGCGCAAGCCUGAUGGAGCAACACCGCGUGAGUGAAGAAGGGUUUCGGCUCGUAAAGCUCUGUUGUUAAAGAAGAAUACGUAUGAGAGUAACUGUUCAUACGUUGACGGUAUUUAACCAGAAAGUCACGGCUAACUACGUGCCAGCAGCCGCGGUAAUACGUAGGUGGCAAGCGUUAUCCGGAUUUAUUGGGCGUAAAGAGAGUGCAGGCGGUUUUCUAAGUCUGAUGUGAAAGCCUUCGGCUUAACCGGAGAAGUGCAUCGGAAACUGGAUAACUUGAGUGCAGAAGAGGGUAGUGGAACUCCAUGUGUAGCGGUAGAAUGCGUAGAUAUAUGGAAGAACACCAGUGGCGAAGGCGGCUACCUGGUCUGCAACUGACGCUGAGACUCGAAAGCAUGGGUAGCGAACAGGAUUAGAUACCCUGGUAGGAUAGCG
Molecule: ribosomal RNA, 473 nt
Filed under: uncultured bacterium
Lineage: Bacteria
Description: bacterial SSU rRNA
Rfam family: Bacterial small subunit ribosomal RNA
Source: RNAcentral